RNAcentral lists this long non-coding RNA (121 nucleotides) under Chinchilla lanigera (long-tailed chinchilla). RNAcentral's name for it is "lncRNA (ENSCLAG00000026357.1)". The record is from RNAcentral. Lineage: Eukaryota; Metazoa; Chordata; Mammalia; Rodentia; Chinchillidae.
CUCAGAGUGAUCAAGGACCAUCAGGAGCGAGGGAGCCACGUGAACCCUGCUUCUAAUCACAGACUCAGAGAGAGGCCAUGCUGUUUAUGCUGAUUUGACACCAAAGCAAACGAGGAUUAUC